CCUACGGGAGGCAGCAGUGAGGAAUAUUGGUCAAUGGACGAGAGUCUGAACCAGCCAAGUAGCGUGAAGGAUGACUGCCCUAUGGGUUGUAAACUUCUUUUAUAUGGGAAUAAAAUGUUCCACGUGUGGGAUUUUGUAUGUACCAUAUGAAUAAGGAUCGGCUAACUCCGUGCCAGCAGCCGCGGUAAUACGGAGGAUCCGAGCUUUAUCCGGAUUUAUUGGGUUUAAAGGGAGCGUAGGUGGAUUGUUAAGUCAGUUGUGAAAGUUUGCGGCUCAACCGUAAAAUUGCAGUUGAAACUGGCAGUCUUGAGUACAGUAGAGGUGGGCGGAAUUCGUGGUGUAGCGGUGAAAUGCUUAGAUAUCACGAAGAACUCCGAUUGCGAAGGCAGUUCACUGGACUGCAACUGACACUGAGGCUCGAAAGUGUGGGUAUCAAACAGGAUUAGAUACCCCUGUAGUC
RNAcentral lists this ribosomal RNA (460 nucleotides) under uncultured bacterium. RNAcentral's name for it is "partial 16S ribosomal RNA". It matches the Rfam family "Bacterial small subunit ribosomal RNA", at positions 338 to 795 of the family's 1533-position model. The record is from RNAcentral.